CCACAGACCAGCAUGGUGCCAGCUCAGCCCUAGAGCUCCAGGCAGCAUCUUUCAAAUGAGAUGUGACAGGACACUCCUGCAGAGACAUAUUGCAGAGACUAUAAAGUGAAAGGUACAGGCGAAUUAUCUACUGGAACAGACCAGAUGCCUGUUGAAGUGAAUAUCCCCUCUGAGAAGCUGGCUUAUCACAGGCUCCAAGGAGAGAAAGGCAGACCUUAAGCAUGAUACCAACCAAUUACAGAAUCUGUCCAGAGAAGUUUAUUUUUCAUCAAGAGUUAAGCUGAGCAGUUGGCAUUUUCCACCAGCCAAACACAAGACAUGUAGAGUGCAUUUGCAUUGUCUGAAGGAAGACUGGGAUCUUUGGGAGUCGUGACUGCCCUUUCUGCCUGGCAGUCACUCCAGCAGUAUCCAUUUGGUGGCUGAGGACAUCUGGGGCAUCUUGCUCCUCUGCUGUCACAUGACAUGUUAUUUCUGCGUAAAGAAAUAAUCUCCUUUAUAGAAAGAUAUCACACUGAUUCUUUAAACUUUUUAAUGUCAUACUGAAAAAUGACAGCUGGGAUGGUUGAAUGGGUUGAUGGUGGAAACGUACUGUUGUGGGAAAACUGAAAUUCUAACAUAUGGUAGAUAGUUCCCCUCUACCAGAAUAGCAUGCUUCUGUUGCAUGGACAUUUCUGUGGAAAGAGAACAAAAGGCAGUUUAACUAUCAUCCGGCGCUUUCCCAGAGACAGGUUAGCAGCCCAUUCCCCUCCAUCGAUGCUGAAACAAGAUGUGCUGUGGGUUUUGAGUGACGUAUUUAUGUUAUGCUCAUUACUGUGGUAUUUAAAUAUAGGUCAGCCAGGGUCUUUGGUUGAAACUUCUCCUUAAUUAAAAACAUACAUAAGUUUGCAGGAAGUAGAGGGCAGCUAGUUGUACUGUGGAUGGUCUCCUACCUUUUGCGUGUUCUUUCGGCCUUACACAGAGAGCUGCUAAUAUUCCACACCUCAGUAUGGAAGCAGACCUCUAGCAGAUCUCAUUAAUGUAGGCCUAUGUCUCACCCAGCAGGCAAAGCUGGCUGGGAACAACUAGCUCAUUGGCUGCUUUAAUGGCUGGAAAUUAGUGGACUGAAGGUGAUCCUGCACGGGACUCAGUCAUGUAAAUUACUUUAUGCUUCAAUUUUCUCAUCUGCAGCUUGUUAUGAAGAUUGUUUCAUGUGUGCUUUGGGAUCUUUUGGGAAAGUGUGCCCUAUGUUAAAUUACAGUGUCAGUGCCUUUUUGGGGCCAGCCCUGCUUUGCUGGAGAAUGAAAGGCUAGGAACCCAAAGUGGCAGGACUGGAUGUUUCAGUGGUCAGUGCCCACAGUCAGGCCAGCUGACCACACCAGCUCUGUGCAUUGCCUGCCAGAGACAUUUGAAAAGUCUGGCUUCUCUCUAA
Non-coding RNA from Phalacrocorax carbo (great cormorant), 1408 nucleotides. The record is from RefSeq and is a predicted model, not a curated record. Lineage: Eukaryota; Metazoa; Chordata; Aves; Suliformes; Phalacrocoracidae.